UCCAUCUUGAAAACGGAAAAUAAAAACAGCAGACCUAUGAAGGUCGAAGGGGAAGAAAAGCUGUAUCGAUUGUUGAGAUCUGGCGACUUGUUUAAAUUUCAUCAGCCUCACUUCUAUGAACUCUCAGGCCUCACGUGUACCAGCUCUCUGCUCUCCUUUGCCUUGGGACGUUCCAUCCCUGGAAGUUUCCCUGCCCACAUCUUUGUAGAGAGUCCAUUCUCCAAGCUUCAGUGUGUCAUCUGUGAGGACCGUGACCCACCUGGUACAUCGCCUCAGGGCAUUCAUUUCAGGCUCCUUCUAAAUGGCCAAGGUACAGUUGACUAAAUACCGUACUUCAUUUCUGGUAUGUUUGGAGAGACAUCUGUUUUUUGCAUUUGGUCUUUCACUCUUUGUUUUUCUCCGGGAGGAUUAUACUUUGUUUGUUCCUCUCAAACUUUACCCAACUGAGAGUGCUAUAGAGUGCUGUGAUUUAAAUAUCAACAGAUUUCUAGGGACAUAUGCACUCUCAGAAAUAUGUGCGUUCUCAGACCUGAGUACCCUGGUGUGGGCUUCGUGGUAUUUUAGGAAGCAUGAAUUGAGAUCUGAGGGCACUAGGUUUAUCUUGAAAGCAGAUGUAGGUAAAUUGUCUCGGCUCUGCUGUGAUCUCUAAGAUUAUGAAGGUAUCUGGAACUCAGGGGAAAAAACAUCUAUUUUAUCACAUCAUUGAAAGUAGUUUCUUACCAUUUAUUAAACAUUGGCUUAAAAUAAUGAUUUUGCCAUUUUUUUCCUGUCACAUUGCAAAUGCUUAUCUAUUGCUUUGACUAAGUUUGCAUGCCUGCAUUUCACCCUUGAAAAAGUAAAGUGUUCAGUUUUUUCUUUUUGUAGAUAGUAUUUAGAUCACCUUUAUCAAUCUUAAAAUAAGAAACCUAAUAAAAAUAACUCCAAAUUGCAAGGCAUCUCUUUAAUACAUAGAUACUUUGUAUCUUCAUUUUAGUUGAAAAGUUAAAAUUAUCUGUAGAGAAAGCAUAAGACUAGAUGAUACCUUUUAAUCUAUUGUGAGAGAUAUGUAACAUGUCAGCAGAUGACAAAAGUAGGAACUGUUUUAUAAACCUCCAAUCAUCAAAUAAGUGACAUGUUUGAGUCAAUCAAUUUAAGAGGUUCCCAGUCCACUGAUGAAACCAUUUGAAGAAAAUGUGCUGUUUGAUGUUACAGAAGCCAAAAGCUGUAUAAAUGUGUCAUCUGUUUUUCAUUUUAAUUCACUGUUUCAGAAGUAUUUACUGUGUAUUAAAAAAUCUUUUUACCCUUUCAAAUCUUUUGGACAACCUGGAAAAAUUGAGAACAGUUUAAGAUCUAUCCAUAAAAGCACAUUCUCAGCUGAGUUAUCUUGUUCCUAUGUGGUGAUAUUAAUCAUAUUACAUAUGAACUUUUAAAAUCAAGUAAGAAGGCUGUCAUUUGACUAAGUAGCUGCUGAUUUUUAAACAGAAUCUGUAAAUAUAUAUCUAUAUGCUGAAAGCUUUUAGUUCAAUCAAAAAUUAAAGGUUUUUUUAAUACAGUAUAAAUCUGAAAGGUAUUUCUAGGUUCAGACAAAAAUAUCUGGAAGGAUGUUGCCUUUAAAAAUAAAGCCUUUUUUGUAGGACAAUCUCUGUUUUAAGAAAUGAGAUUAUUUCAUAUUGUUGUCCAUGAGAAAAUAUUACUAGACUGAGAGAUUCUUCUUAUUUAAUUCUCCCUCCAACGCCAUCCUUCCCUUGCAAUGAACGCCCAAUCACCGUUACUUUUUUUCUCACUAUUUAAAAACCUCUCUCUUGCCCACAGAGUUGCUUUUUUAAAAGAUCCCUCUCUUUUCCUAGAUGCUCUUCUUUCCUCUUUUCUCUGCCCUCACCCUGGCCACACCCUCCUGCCUGGGUCCAUCCGGUCCUACCUCUUGACAAUGCUAAUUUCCUCUUCUCAGUUUGGCUACUAAAUUUUACACUAUGCCAUAAACAGGCUACUUGUGAUGCCUCUGGUUAUUCGUAAUGCAUAGCCAAAAAUACACUAAGUGCCACCACUCCUUAAUUCACUGAUUUCUAGCCAGAAGCAGGGAGAGAGGAAAAAUAUCAGUGCUUUACUUUAAAGCCAUUGUCUUCCAUUGGUUUUCAUUAAAGGGACAGGAGAAUUAUAUGUAAAAUGUAAUAAUCUUCAGGUUUUCCUGAGCGUUUUAACAAGCCACGUUCAGGCAGUAGGGUUGGAAAGUGAUGAGGGAAAACGACAAGGGUGUUGAAAGUCCCUAAACGGGAUCCUGUAAUUUCUAGAAAAGAAAUGGUUCUGCAAACAGGAGACAUGAUUACAUAGGCUUAAUUAACAGUUCAAAGUAUUGGGGAGGACUUAUCAUGGUAGCACGCAUGUUUCUCGUUCUUUAAUGAGUAAAUGACCCAUUUGAGUGCAUGAGCACAUAUCAGAAGCACAUGGCGAUGAAGAAGUGUGGUGGUGGUAGAUCUGAUCAAAGGUUUUCAAAACUGACUCCAAGUAUUUGAUGAAGAAGAUUAACAUGGAGACAAUUUACCAAACAAAUACAGCAUAAAGAGCCAAGAGACCUUCUAAGGGACUUCAAGGCUCCAGCUUGCCCACAUAAAGAAUAUCAUUAAACAGAAAGAAA
Homo sapiens (human) is the source of this 2611-nucleotide long non-coding RNA. Ensembl annotates it as testis expressed 41. Its record names the gene TEX41. The record is from Ensembl. NCBI's taxonomy places the organism in Eukaryota, Metazoa, Chordata, Mammalia, Primates, Hominidae.